RNAcentral lists this ribosomal RNA (346 nucleotides) under uncultured bacterium. Its description in RNAcentral is "partial 16S ribosomal RNA". It matches the Rfam family "Bacterial small subunit ribosomal RNA", at positions 338 to 681 of the family's 1533-position model. The record is from RNAcentral.
CCUACGGGAGGCAGCAGUGAGGAAUAUUGGUCAAUGGACGAGAGUCUGAACCAGCCAAGUAGCGUGAAGGAUGACUGCCCUAUGGGUUGUAAACUUCUUUUAUAUGGGAAUAAAAUGUUGCACGUGUGGGAUUUUGUAUGUACCAUAUGAAUAAGGAUCGGCUAACUCCGUGCCAGCAGCCGCGGUAAUACGGAGGAUCCGAGCGUUAUCCGGCUUGAUUGGGUUUAAAGGGAGCGUCGGUGGUUUGUGAAGUCAGUUGUGAAAGUUUGCGGCUCACCCGUAAAAUUGCAGUUGAAACUGGCAGUCUUGAGUACAGUAGAGGUAGGCGGCAUUCGUGGUGUCGCGG